UUCCGGUUGAUCCCGCCGGAGGCUACCGCUAUUGGAGUUCGAUUAAGCCAUGCGAGUCCAGAGCUUUCGGAGCUCGGCGUACCGCUCAGUAACACGUGGGUAACCUAACCUAUGCAGGGGAAUAACCUCGGGAAACUGAGAAUAAUGCCCCAUAGUCCACUACGCCUGGAACGGUGAGUGGAUGAAAGCUCAGGCGGCAUAGGAUGGGCCUGCGGCGUAUCAGGUUGUAGGGGGUGUAAAGUACCCUCUAGCCCUCUACGCGUACGGGUGUUGGGAGACAUAGCCCGGAGAUGGAUUCUGAGACACGAAUCCAGACCCUACGGGGUGCAGCAGGCGCGAAAACUUGGCAAUGCGAGCAAUCGUGACCAGGGAACUCCAAGUGGCUGGGGUAAGACCCAGUCUUUUCAGAACUCUUCAAAGGUUUUAGAAUAAGGGGUGGGUAAGGACGGUGCCAGCCGCCGCGGUAAUACCGGCGCCUCAAGUGGUAGUCGCUUUUAUUGGGCCUAAAACGUCCGUAGCCGGUUUGGUACAUUCGUGGGUAAAUCAACUCGCUCAACGAGUUGAAUUCUGCGAGGACGGCCAGACUUGGGACCGGGAGAGGUGUGGGGUACUCUCAGGGUAGGGGUAAAAUCCUGUCAUCCUGAGAGGACCACCUGUUGCGAAGGCGCCACACUAGAACGGAUCCGACGGUCAGGGACGAAGCCUAGGGGCACGAACCGGAUUAGAUACCCGGGUAGUCCUAGGUGUAAACGCUGUGGACUUGAUGUUGGAGGAGCUCCGAGCUCUUUCAGUGUCGAAGCGAAGGUGAUAAGUCCACUGCCUGGGAAGUACGGUCGCAAGGCUGAAACUUAAAGGAAUUGGCGGGGGAGCACCGCAACCUGAGGAUUGUGCGGUUUAAUUGGAUUCAACGCCGG
RNAcentral lists this ribosomal RNA (914 nucleotides) under uncultured marine archaeon. Its description in RNAcentral is "bacterial SSU rRNA". It matches the Rfam family "Archaeal small subunit ribosomal RNA", at positions 1 to 921 of the family's 1478-position model. The record is from RNAcentral.